GAUGGUAGUCAAGUUGGAGACUGUCACGAUGACCUAAAUAUCAAACAAGUUUAACCUCUCUUCUUUCUGUCCUUCCUAUACGGUCACAACUGUUGUAGGAAAUCAGAAGUCUGCAGGAACAAAGAUGCACAUAAAGGACUCGAUCAGGAUCGCCAUUACCAUUUUACUAUUAGCAUGUUCUCUGUUUCUUCUCCCUCUAUUCCCCUGGAGUGAUGGCCAGACAAACCAGCGCCAACCGACAGGGAUCUACCGCUGAUGACAACGGGGUGCUAAUGAUACCUCCAAUAAAAUAUGCAAACUAUUUUGCUCUAAUGCAAUAGUAUAAGUGAUUCCAGGUCCAGAGUAUUAAAGAAGAAGAAGCAAAGGCAGAUGAGAAUGGCUGGCCAAGGCAGCAAUGGAGAGGAUCCAGAUGACGAAGGGGAAACAGAGGAUGAUGAUGAAGAUGGAGACUACUGGCGGGAGCAGCAGGAGAAGCUGGAGAGAGAAAGAAAGGCCAUCAUGGAAGAUGAUGUCUGGUAGCAGAUGAGAAGACUCGUCUACUGAAAGAGAAGGAGAGGAAGAUGGAAGAUCUGAGGCGGGAGAGGAAGGCCCAGUACAAAAUUGCAGCCAAAGUCCCGAUCAUGGAGAGUAAACUCCUGGUUGGAGGGAAGAACAUCAUGGAUCACACCAAUGAGCAGCAGAGAAUGGUGGAGCUGAAAGCAGGAAAUUGCUGAACAGGUACAUCAAAUGCUGGCCAACAUUUUGAAGGGGAUCUCCUCACACGGUCACAUUUCCUCUGUGUGAAAAUGUCUUUGUGUCC
This 799-nucleotide long non-coding RNA is filed under the name Takifugu rubripes (torafugu). Its description in RNAcentral is "lncRNA (ENSTRUG00000031621.1)". Lineage: Eukaryota; Metazoa; Chordata; Actinopteri; Tetraodontiformes; Tetraodontidae. The record is from RNAcentral.